CGUGGUAUGAUCCUCCAAUGAUCCCCGGAUUACUUCGAAAGAUUAACGGAAUAGAGCAAGAGAUGGAGAAAAUGCGUGCAAUAGGAAAAAUGCGAUUCUUGGUUAUUGAUUUUAAUCAUGUUAUUGUAGAUGGAGUAAAUAUUGUCAUUUGGGUUGAUUAAACUUCUAGUAUAGUUUGUUGUAACCUUAUCCAAGAUGGAGUAAAUAUUGUCAUUUGGGUUGAUUAAACUUCUAGUAUAGUUUGUUGUAACCUUAUCCAAGAUGGAGUAAAUAUUGUAAUUUGAGUUAACUUCUAGAAUCUGUAAAGAAAGUUUUGUCUUUGUAUUGUUAGAAGUGGUGAUAUUAGCAUUAACAUCAAUUCAUGGCCAAUUCAUG
Molecule: long non-coding RNA, 375 nt
Filed under: Panax ginseng (ginseng)
Lineage: Eukaryota; Viridiplantae; Streptophyta; Magnoliopsida; Apiales; Araliaceae
Description: long non-coding RNA (PGIN_LNC011576)
Source: RNAcentral